This is a long non-coding RNA of Hibiscus syriacus, 253 nucleotides long. RefSeq lists it as uncharacterized. The record is from RefSeq and is a predicted model, not a curated record. The transcript is spliced from 3 exons. NCBI's taxonomy places the organism in Eukaryota, Viridiplantae, Streptophyta, Magnoliopsida, Malvales, Malvaceae.
CUUCUUCUUCUUCUACCUUCCAUCAUUUUCUUCUUCUCUUCCUUUCCAGAUGCUAAAUCAGUGGCAGCUUUAAUGGUGAUUCGAGGUUAAACAGAUAUGCAAGUGAACUGUGGUUUAGUUGUUGGUACUCACGACUCCAACGAGCUCCUCGUUUACGUCGCCAUGAGGACUAUUCUCUAAGGGGAAAGCCAGGGAAUAUUUAAUCGGCCAAACUGCAACAUAUGCGGAGAUGAAAUUGAGCUAUCAACAGAGG